This 1080-nucleotide ribosomal RNA is filed under the name Bacillus amyloliquefaciens XH7. RNAcentral describes it as "bacterial SSU rRNA". The stretch from base 2 to 876 matches the Rfam family "Bacterial small subunit ribosomal RNA", at positions 9 to 873 of the family's 1533-position model. The record is from RNAcentral. Lineage: Bacteria; Bacillati; Bacillota; Bacilli; Caryophanales; Bacillaceae.
AGAGUUUGAUCCUGGCUCAGGACGAACGCUGGCGGCGUGCCUAAUACAUGCAAGUCGAGCGGACAGAUGGGAGCUUGCUCUCUGAUGUUAGCGGCGGACGGGUGAGUAACACGUGGGUAACCUGCCUGUAAGACUGGGAUAACUCCGGGAAACCGGGGCUAAUACCGGAUGCUUGUUUGAAUUCAGACAUAAAAGGUGGCUUCGGCUACCACUUACAGAUGGACCCGCGGCGCAUUAGCUAGUUGGUGAGGUAACGGCUCACCAAGGCGACGAUGCGUAGCCGACCUGAGAGGGUGAUCGGCCACACUGGGACUGAGACACGGCCCAGACUCCUACGGGAGGCAGCAGUAGGGAAUCUUCCGCAAUGGACGAAAGUCUGACGGAGCAACGCCGCGUGAGUGAUGAAGGUUUUCGGAUCGUAAAGCUCUGUUGUUAGGGAAGAACAAGUGCCGUUCAAAUAGGGCGGCACCUUGACGGUACCUAACCAGAAAGCCACGGCUAACUACGUGCCAGCAGCCGCGGUAAUACGUAGGUGGCAAGCGUUGUCCGGAAUUAUUGGGCGUAAAGGGCUCGCAGGCGGUUUCUUAAGUCUGAUGUGAAAGCCCCCGGCUCAACCGGGGAGGGUCAUUGGAAACUGGGGAACUUGAGUGCAGAAGAGGAGAGUGGAAUUCCACGUGUAGCGGUGAAAUGCGUAGAGAUGUGGAGGAACACCAGUGGCGAAGGCGACUCUCUGGUCUGUAACUGACGCUGAGGAGCGAAAGCGUGGGGAGCGAACAGGAUUAGAUACCCUGGUAGUCCACGCCGUAAACGAUGAGUGCUAAGUGUUAGGGGGUUUCCGCCCCUUAGUGCUGCAGCUAACGCAUUAAGCACUCCGCCUGGGGAGUGAAGCGUGGCUUGGAUAGCUUGGAUCUGUGGUCAGAAGACAGGCUUUCAGCAAUUGUGACAUCCCGUAAAACAACAGAAUAGGCUUAAUUUCUAAAGGAGAAAGGGAUGCCUGCUUAUAAAAGGACUCGGCGUGUUUGAUGAAGAAUAUGAAGCGCUCACUGUUUUUAAACGCAUACCGUUUUGGUUCUUCCAUUC